This 253-nucleotide ribosomal RNA is filed under the name uncultured bacterium. Its description in RNAcentral is "partial 16S ribosomal RNA". It matches the Rfam family "Bacterial small subunit ribosomal RNA", at positions 524 to 776 of the family's 1533-position model. The record is from RNAcentral.
GACAGAGGGUGCAAACGUUGUUCGGAAUUACUGGGCGUAAAGCGUGUGUAGGCGGUCCAUUAAGUCGGGUGUGAAAGCCCUGGGCUCAACCCAGGAAGUGCACUCGAAACUGGCGGGCUAGAGUAUCGGAGAGGUUGGUGGAAUUCCUGGUGUAGCGGUGAAAUGCGUAGAUAUCAGGAGGAACACCAGUGGCGAAGGCGACUACCUGGCCUGUUCUUGACGCUGAGGCGCGAAAGCUAGGGGAGCAAACGGG